This 1168-nucleotide long non-coding RNA is filed under the name Canis lupus familiaris (dog). RNAcentral's name for it is "lncRNA (ENSCAFG00040009819.1)". Lineage: Eukaryota; Metazoa; Chordata; Mammalia; Carnivora; Canidae. The record is from RNAcentral.
GAGCAUUUUCCUCCUUGAAGCUGGUGCACCUCCUUUUGCAUUUCUGGAGUGGGGUGGGGGAACACACCCCUGACCCUUGCUUCCAGACUUCUCGGCCAUCUCACCGAGUCCUCAUGUUUUAGCGUCAGGAUCUCCAUAUCAGACAUCAGAACCGAGAGUGGCAAGAGCCAGGGCACCGUAGUCGCUUGCCUUUAACCCUUCACGGGGCCCCAGUCCUGGGCAUUUCAAUGGCUCCUUUCUCUGGCGCUCAAUGAAACAUUCUUCCGAGCAGAUUAUUGAAAGCAGAGCUCUAGGCCCACAAUGGGCGCUCUGUGCUCACAGCCGCUGCCCAAUCUGUUUGCCCAGCUCGACUGCGGCCUCGCCUCUCCGCACACUCCCGCCCGCCGCCGCCCGACCCCGGCCCCACCUCGAGGCCAGCUCAAAGGGAGGCCGUAUGAAAGGACUUGUUCUCCACCUUCUCAGAAGUUCCCGCCUUGGCCUCUGCCAGCCUUGGGAGGAAUUAGCCCGAUGGGACCCAGGCCUGCCUCCGGCCCAUCCAUCCGGGGCUCUGCCCACUUUUAUGUCUGGAGAUUUCUUUUCUUUUUUUGAAUAUAUAUUUUAUUUAUUUAUUCAUGAGAGACACAGAGAGACACAGAGAGACAGAGAGAGAAGCAGGCUCCAUGCAGGGAGCCCGACAUGGGACUCAAUCCCAGGACUCCAGGAUCACACCCUGGGCCGAAGACAGGCACUAAACCACCGAGCCACCCAGGGAUCCCCCUAUGUCUGGAGAUUUCUGUCCUCACUGGUCAAUGGGUUUCUCUCUCUCACUCUCCCUCUCUUUCUCUCUCUCUCUCUCUCACACACACACACACACACACCAGGUGGGACUUUCAGAGAAAGAGAUGAAGCCCCAGAGAAGCAGACUGAGAUCUGGGGUCACUUGGCUGAUCCAGAGAUCCAGAGAAGUAGAGGGGCUCCAAAAAGCGAGGGUUCCAGGCUGCCCACUAGCAUCCCCUCCCGGGUUCAGGGAAGGAAACAGUUCCCCGAGUGAGAGCCCUGGAGCUGAUGGCUGUACUCCAGCCUAGCCCUGCCAUUUGCUAGCUGUGUGACUUAGCUACCUAAGUCGACCUCUUAGUGCCCUGGUUUUCUUAUUUGUAAAGCAGGAAUAAUUAUAGUAGUUACCUCAUCA